GUCCCAGACAAAGGAAAACACAGCAUCCUGAAUAUAAAUUGAUGUUUCAAAACAGGAAGCAGAUUUUCUGCACUGUGAGAACUACCCCCCUGCCUUCCCCACACAAACUGCAGACACACAUACACAUUGAGGAUCUCUCCCAACUAGUUCCUGCUUUGAUGACCCAGGAACCACUUCAGCUCGAUCACACCUUUUGACCUCUCCAGCUGGCAGUGUUACCUACAGUACCAGAGAGCAGAUUCUUGUCUGUCCAUAAUCCAAUUCAAGGGAGUCUUGAGCCUGCCCAACCUUUGAUAUCUUGACUGUGGAACACAUUCACCUGCAGACUCACUGGCCUUCAUGGUGACCCGGCCCAGGGAAGACUCACUUUUCAAUGUGUAGAGAAUGACGGAUUGUCUAUGGAUUUCUAUUUUCUCAUUUGGGGUUGGGGAGUGCUGGGGCAAUGAGCAACGAACUGUUCAGGACCACAGCAAAGCUUUUUGAAGCUGCUCCGUCAUUAGUUCCCCUGGUUUUACUUUUUACUUGUAUCGAUUUAUUAAAUCUGGUAUCUAAUUUUAAAGUAAUAACGGACAUGCAGGUUGAGGACUCGGGUCAGAAUUUAAUCAAACUGCGGUAAAUGUAUGAUUGCUGUGGUUUUUAGGGCCUAAAACCAACUGUAUGGUGGUUAUAAAGCAGACCAACCUUCAACUUUCUAUUUUUCGAUGGGCAUGGUCGAGCCAGGUCUCCAAGCAUGAGACGUUCACGUUGAGCACUAUGCAUGUUUGUUUUCUGGUUACCGCUGUGUGGUUUGCUUUAAAGACAGGAGAUACAGUUUCCUCUUAGUCAUGCAAAUGACUAAUAUGUUACAUGGUUUGAUCCAAUUCUGACCCUAAACAAUCUAACUUGCCCUGAACCACAUGUCAAACACGAUGUACUGAGGGCAGUGUCUGCAGGUUUUUAUUCCACUCUUGUACUUUAUUGAUGAAUUAAGGUCAAUGAUUAUUAAGGAACUCCACUCAACUGGUUGCCUUGGUCUUAAUUGAAAGGAAAAACCUGCACACACUAGGCCCUCCAUGGAAGGAGUUUGACACCCCUGCCCUAAAAUGAUCUAACUUACAUUGUUACUUUUGUUUUUGCUUUUCUCAUAACCUAUUUAUUAAAAUAUCUAAUUGCUUUGUUAGCCAAUUAUCAACUUUUUUUAUAUAUAUACUUGCUUUUGGGUUUGCUUUUGUGACUUUACAGUGUGUUGUUUUUGAAGAUGAAAAUUAACAGCCUUAAAUGAUUUCAGUCUUACAUUGGUUUCUGUGUGGUUAUUGUCUUACUUCCAACUUUUCAAUGUAAUUACUGCCAUCAUGUAGUACAAAUCUGAUACCAAGAUUGAAGAACACUGGCC
Molecule: long non-coding RNA, 1372 nt
Organism: Oncorhynchus tshawytscha (Chinook salmon)
Lineage: Eukaryota; Metazoa; Chordata; Actinopteri; Salmoniformes; Salmonidae
Source: Ensembl